UUAAAUUGAAGAGUUUGAUCAUGGCUCAGAUUGAACGCUGGCGGCAGGCCUAACACAUGCAAGUCGAACGGUAACAGAAAGCAGCUUGCUGCUUUGCUGACGAGUGGCGGACGGGUGAGUAAUGUCUGGGAAACUGCCCGAUGGAGGGGGAUAACUACUGGAAACGGUAGCUAAUACCGCAUAACGUCGCAAGACCAAAGAGGGGGACCUUCGGGCCUCUUGCCAUCGGAUGUGCCCAGAUGGGAUUAGCUAGUAGGUGGGGUAAAGGC
RNAcentral lists this ribosomal RNA (269 nucleotides) under Escherichia coli. RNAcentral's name for it is "partial 16S ribosomal RNA". It matches the Rfam family "Bacterial small subunit ribosomal RNA", at positions 1 to 264 of the family's 1533-position model. The record is from RNAcentral. Lineage: Bacteria; Pseudomonadati; Pseudomonadota; Gammaproteobacteria; Enterobacterales; Enterobacteriaceae.